CAGCAGCCGCGGGAAAAUGGAGGGAGCUAGCGUUGUUCGGAAUUACUGGGCGUAAAGCGCGCGUAGGCGGUUACUCAAGUCAGAGGUGAAAGCCCGGGGCUCAACCCCGGAACUGCCUUUGAAACUAGGUGACUAGAAUCUUGGAGAGGUCAGUGGAAUUCCGAGUGUAGAGGUGAAAUUCGUAGAUAUUCGGAAGAACACCAGUGGCGAAGGCGACUGACUGGACAAGUAUUGACGCUGAGGUGCGAAAGCGUGGGGAGCAAACAGGAUUAGAUACCCCCGUAGUCCCUGUCUCUUAUAC
RNAcentral lists this ribosomal RNA (301 nucleotides) under uncultured bacterium. RNAcentral's name for it is "partial 16S ribosomal RNA". It matches the Rfam family "Bacterial small subunit ribosomal RNA", at positions 509 to 807 of the family's 1533-position model. The record is from RNAcentral.